RNAcentral lists this non-coding RNA (70 nucleotides) under Flavobacterium sp. Its description in RNAcentral is "Fluoride sequence". It matches the Rfam family "Fluoride riboswitch aptamer (crcB RNA motif)". Lineage: Bacteria; Pseudomonadati; Bacteroidota; Flavobacteriia; Flavobacteriales; Flavobacteriaceae. The record is from RNAcentral.
ACUAUCAAUGGCAAUGAUGUCUGCCUCGAACCGCUUUUUAUAACUAGAAGCUGAUGACGUCUAUUUAAUG